GUAUCUUAAAUUGAGUUACAGAGAUUAGAAGUCUAUUUACCUCUUCGGUAUCAGGCAAAUGAUAUCAGUACAAUCUUACAAAUGUGGUUCAUGGGGAAAACAAAACAAAACAUAAAUAUGCCUCACCACAAGGAGUUAGAUUAUAAGAUGAGAGUAUUCUGCGAGACUGCCACAGACUGGCAUAAUUUGACUGGCCAUUGUAGUAUACAUAGGAUGAUAGGGCGACUCUGUUUAUAUGCCUGUGGCCAAAUGUUUCAUCAUGAAGCAGGGUAUUUUGUUGAUGAAGUGGAAAUUGUACUUGUCAGUGACAAACAUAUAUGUCAUAUAUGGAUUGGGAUUAUAUUGUAUAUAUAAAAUUAUCGUCCUAACACCAACUAACACAUGUUGACCCUGCCGGGCCUAGACCUGCGUUUUUAUAACUGCCUCGUGAGAGGAAAGUCGCGCAAUAUAGCUAGUAUGUUGGUAAACUAAAUGCGGGUAACGAAAAGCCGAACAGUUCAUGGGAUGUACUCGAAUUGCGCACGUAAUAUGGCUCCAGAAACGUUCUACCAUGGACGAACAUUGGUAGGUUUAUGCUGUUCGUGGCAACUUCAGUGUAUGACAUAACGCGCUUAAGUAUAAUGACAAUAUGAAACGCACUCACCGGUUUAAAAAGUGGAUCAAAUGUGGAUAGAAAACAGCCUUUUUCCAGGUUCUGAACGUCGGGACUUGGAAGCUUCGAUUUAUCCGAGAAAAUGUACCACGGGCAUUUUCGUGUACGGAAAAUUUUCCUUCUAUGUUGUCUCGAAGACCGUUGAAACCAGAGUGAACUGAGAUAAAAUUUGGCUAGCUUUUGCUGCAUAUAACUGAAGAAUGUCGGCCUAGCAAAAUGGGAUUAUAUUGGCAAUUUGGCAUUGACACAUGGCAGGUGUUGCCCGGAGAGCAAGGCGGUUGUUUUCUUUGCUUAUCGUUUCCGUUUAGUUUUCGGUAUGGAUGUUGCCUCUUAUUAAUCCUAAUUUAUUUUUUAAAAUAAAUUGCUC
This is a non-coding RNA of Paramuricea clavata, 1019 nucleotides long. The record is from the annotation of a GenBank genome assembly. NCBI's taxonomy places the organism in Eukaryota, Metazoa, Cnidaria, Anthozoa, Malacalcyonacea, Plexauridae.